GCUAGUAAUCGCGGAUCAGCAUGCCGCGGUGAAUACGUUCCCGGGCCUUGUACACACCGCCCGUCACACCAUGGGAGCCGGUAAUACCCGAAGUCAGUAGUCCAACCACGUGAGGACGCUGCCGAAGGUAGGAUUGGCGACUGGGGUGAAGUCGUAACAAGGUACC
This 166-nucleotide ribosomal RNA is filed under the name uncultured bacterium. Its description in RNAcentral is "partial 16S ribosomal RNA". It matches the Rfam family "Bacterial small subunit ribosomal RNA", at positions 1334 to 1500 of the family's 1533-position model. The record is from RNAcentral.